GCUAUACAUGCAAGUCGAGCGAAUGGAUUAAGAGCUUGCUCUUAUGAAGUUAGCGGCGGACGGGUGAGUAACACGUGGGUAACCUGCCCAUAAGACUGGGAUAACUCCGGGAAACCGGGGCUAAUACCGGAUAACAUUUUGAACCGCAUGGUUCGAAAUUGAAAGGCGGCUUCGGCUGUCACUUAUGGAUGGACCCGCGUCGCAUUAGCUAGUUGGUGAGGUAACGGCUCACCAAGGCAACGAUGCGUAGCCGACCUGAGAGGGUGAUCGGCCACACUGGGACUGAGACACGGCCCAGACUCCUACGGGAGGCAGCAGUAGGGAAUCUUCCGCAAUGGACGAAAGUCUGACGGAGCAACGCCGCGUGAGUGAUGAAGGCUUUCGGGUCGUAAAACUCUGUUGUUAGGGAAGAACAAGUGCUAGUUGAAUAAGCUGGCACCUUGACGGUACCUAACCAGAAAGCCACGGCUAACUACGUGCCAGCAGCCGCGGUAAUACGUAGGUGGCAAGCGUUAUCCGGAAUUAUUGGGCGUAAAGCGCGCGCAGGUGGUUUCUUAAGUCUGAUGUGAAAGCCCACGGCUCAACCGUGGAGGGUCAUUGGAAACUGGGAGACUUGAGUGCAGAAGAGGAAAGUGGAAUUCCAUGUGUAGCGGUGAAAUGCGUAGAGAUAUGGAGGAACACCAGUGGCGAAGGCGACUUUCUGGUCUGUAACUGACACUGAGGCGCGAAAGCGUGG
This 736-nucleotide ribosomal RNA is filed under the name Bacillus anthracis (anthrax bacterium). Its description in RNAcentral is "bacterial SSU rRNA". It matches the Rfam family "Bacterial small subunit ribosomal RNA", at positions 48 to 764 of the family's 1533-position model. The record is from RNAcentral. Lineage: Bacteria; Bacillati; Bacillota; Bacilli; Caryophanales; Bacillaceae.